Colias croceus (clouded yellow) is the source of this 2662-nucleotide RNA transcript. RefSeq lists it as uncharacterized. The transcript is spliced from 16 exons. The record is from RefSeq and is a predicted model, not a curated record. NCBI's taxonomy places the organism in Eukaryota, Metazoa, Arthropoda, Insecta, Lepidoptera, Pieridae.
GUCUUGGAGAUUCCUUCCAAACACUUUCAUGAGCUUUUUUCACUAGUGAAUGAAAUAUUUAAAUAAUUCAAUUAUAUAAAAAGUAUAAAUCUAUAUAACUUCAAUUCAAUUAUUUACCAUGAGCUUCAAUGAGCGGGGAAUUCUUUGGUAGCAGUUGAAAAGCUUCGUGAUGGAUAAUAUUGUUCAAUUUGAGUGGGUUGAACCAGAACGCGACCACUAUUUCCUAAGAGCCCAAGAUUUAGAGAACUGUGUGACAGAAAGAAUAUUAAGAAACACAUUCCAUGACCCAUUGAUUUCUAGCAGUGAUAGUGAAGAGUCCAAUGAUAUUAAUUGGAAAGAUAUUUUUAGUCAAAAACAAAAUGCAAACCAAAACCACCGUCUCUUUGUGCCAGGCUGUCGGCCUGUGCCAAAGUACCCCAAGUUAUCAUCGCUCACUGCGAUAGAACACACACAAUGCCUCAAAGUGAUGUGCGUGAAGAGUCCACACAUACUGCCGCUGAAGCCAUUCCCGAAGCCCGGUAAAAUGGAUUAUAAAGUGUUUGAGGAAAUCAAAAAGGAAUAUGAAGCGGAACAAAAAGAAUACCUAGCUUGGGCGAAAUCCCUCUGGGCUACUGAGCACUGUAUCAAAGCGUUACGACCAAAGCCACAUGUGGAAUUAGUAUAUGAAGCCCAGUAUAAAAUGAGGGCGCACGAGUUACAGUCGUAUCCGAAGAACUAUGAACUAGCCGCACAAAUACCAUUGGAAGCGAGGAAUGAUCAAUGUGAAUUUGUGUUUGUGGAAGAUUUAAUUAGCAUUGAUGCCACAGACCUACCACAGAUCCAAAAUGAAAUGAUAGAAGAUAAAAUUUUCAUUAUGAAAAACAAUGCAGUACCUGAACCAUGCAAUAAGCAUCCAUGCAAGUUUAUUUUACCAAGAGAGAAAUCAGUAUCAGUGCUACCACUAACAGAAAUAGAAAGAGAAUUAGCGCAAUACGCACUCGAGCACAACACACGGUACAUAGCUAGUGAGAGCGCGCUGCGUUGCUUGCUGUCGCUGGACCAACAUUGGUACAUCACUGUGCGAGUGUGUGACGUCAUUGGCUCGGAUGGCGAAAAAUCAAAUGUAAUAGUGUUAGGAAGUGAAUUUUCCAUAAAAAAAGAGUCAAUUAUGCGCAGGACGUAUAAGGCUUUUAGACAUCUGUUGGAAGAUGCACUUGUACCGUUAUCAGAAAAGGGGAGGAUCAUGAACAAAUUGAUUAGAAACUCUGAAAGAGAUAGUAAUGUAAAUACAAAUGUAUCAAAUGUCGAAAAUAACAAUAUGGAACCGUCCAGUGAUGAUGAAGACGAUGGUUUAUGUAUAGAUACAGGUGAAGAUCUUCAAGAAAAUAGUGAUGUAGAAACUAAAACUGAUCAACAGGAACAACAGAAAUCUCAAGAAAACACUAAUAACAAUUUAGAAAAGUCGGAUAACAAUAAUUCUACCGCGUCUAUAGGAUUUUAUGAAUGCACAUGUAAAGAUACGAUAUUCGAGUUACCAGCACAACGGUCAUACAAAAAGUGGCAAGUGAGAAGCAAAACUUCUGGCGAAAAAUACGACCUUAUAGUGCAUUGUGCGCAUAGAGCACGGGGUUCGACCAGCGAAGUAAUACUAGAGCCGAUACCAGAAUACCAGUUGGAAUUAGGAGCUAGUUCGCUGUCUCAGCACAAAUUAGCUAGCUUAGCUCUAGCUCUGCAUUUGAGGAGGAAAGCUGCCCUUAUGAAUGUGCGAUUAGAUGGUGUGUCCGGAGAAAUAGUGACGAUGGAAAAGUUGUAUCAAAAUGAAUUCAGCAAUAAGUAUGGCGACAUGUUGCCCAACAUCGCGAACAUAUUGCACGCGACUUUGAACCAACUACAGGGACUGUUGCCGGGUUAUUAUAUAUUGCAUCAUGAGCCAAGCCACGGAACAAACGCCCUAUUAUACUGUCCAAAGAAAUCAAGUGGGAACAACACAUUGACUCUAAAUUUGGAUCUAUCUCAAAUGCCCGACGAGUCGAGCGCAUUGAAAACUCCGCCCACUAUAUCUUUGGAUAUGUUGCCGAUGCAUAAAUUUCGCAGAAUAUUGCCAUGUGCAUUCACACCGUACCAAGACCAGUUGCCCCGAAAGCCGAUCACUCGCAGUAAAACUCCGCCCCAGGCUCUCAAGAGCGCAGCGGGCAGAGCGGGCAAGCGCGGGAAGCGAAAGCGAAAGAAAUAGACGCGUGGGAUAUAUACCGCCGCUAGUGACGCGCCACCUGUCGAUAGUCGCCCGUAGUGAUGUCUGUUGUCGAUGGAUUCGCCGUGGGUAUUGUGGCCACGGCGAAAGAAAAAUAAAAAGAAGAAAGCUCGAGCAAAUGUUUAGCCUGGCGGAGACAUCACUAUUUUUUCAUAAAUAUAAUAUUUUUCAGGAUAGGUUAUGUUAUAAAUCAAUCAUCUUAUGUCUUCAAUUAAGUUUAAAAGAGAUUGAAUUGAGGGAAUUUUCAUGCUAAUAUUUUAUAAUAUUUAUAAUAUUUUCGACUCUUCGACAGUGGCAAAGCGCCAAAUCGUUUAUUCGAAUAUUUAUAUUCUGAAUACAAAUACGUUACAUUUAUACUUAAAAAGUAAAUAAUAUUAAAAGAAAUUGUUGUUGUACUGUUAUGUUAAUAUUAAUAAAGUACGAAAUAUUAAA